CCCUUAGAUGUUCUGGGCUGCACGCGCGCUACACUGAUGCGCUCAACGAGUUUUAACCUUGCCUGGAAAGGUUGGGUAAUCUUUUUAAAACGCAUCGUGAUGGGGAUAGAUUAUUGCAAUUAUUAAUCUUCAACGAGGAAUUCCUAGUAAGCGCAAGUCAUCAGCUUGCGUCGAUUACGUCCCUGCCCUUUGUACACACCGCCCGUCGCUCCUACCGAUUGGGUGUGCUGGUGAAAUGUUCGGAUCGGCCGUUUGUCGCGGUUUCCGCGUCAUGUGGCUGAGAAGUUCAUUAAACCCUCCCACCUAGAGGAAGGAGAAGUCGUAACA
This 327-nucleotide ribosomal RNA is filed under the name uncultured eukaryote. RNAcentral's name for it is "partial 18S ribosomal RNA". It matches the Rfam family "Eukaryotic small subunit ribosomal RNA", at positions 1470 to 1796 of the family's 1831-position model. The record is from RNAcentral.